RNAcentral lists this ribosomal RNA (696 nucleotides) under Triticum aestivum (bread wheat). RNAcentral's name for it is "partial small subunit ribosomal RNA". Lineage: Eukaryota; Viridiplantae; Streptophyta; Magnoliopsida; Poales; Poaceae. The record is from RNAcentral.
AUGUGGGAAGAAUGCUUGCCUCAUAUUGAGUUUGCUUAUAAUCGUUCAUUGCAUUCUACUACUAAGAUGUGCCCUUUUGAAAUUGUGUAUGGUUUCCUACCUCGUGCACCUAUUGAUUUGUUGCCUCUUCCAUCUUCGGAGAAGGUUAAUUUUGAUGCUAAACAACGUGCUGAAUUGAUCUUAAAAAUGCAUGAGUUAACUAAGGAAAACAUUGAGCGUAUGAAUGCUAAAUAUAAACUUGCUGGAGAGAAGGGUAGAAAACAUGUUGUGUUUGCACCUGGAGAUCUUGUUUGGUUACAUUUGCGUAAGGAUAGAUUUCCUGAUUUGCGCAAAUCAAAGCUAAUGCCACGUGCUGAUGGUCCUUUUAAGGUGUUAGAGAAAAUAAAUGAUAAUGCAUAUAAACUUGAGCUGCCUGCAGAUUUUGGGGUUAGUCCCACUUUUAACAUUGCAGAUUUGAAGCCUUAUUUGGGUGAGGAAGAUGAGCUUCCGUCGAGGACGACUUCAUUUCAAGAAGGGGAGGAUGAUGAGGACAUCAAUACCAUUGUUACACCCACAGGCCCUGCUGCUAUACAUACUGGACCAAUUACUAGAGCUCGCGCACGCCAAUUAAAUUACCAGGAAACAGACCCUCGUGGUCAGGUUGAUCGUGCUCCGGCGUGGUCGAUAACCUGUCGGAGUUGGUUUAGCGAUUGCUAA